GAGAAUGUAGCUCAGUCGGUAGAGCAACUGACUUUUAAUCCGUAGGUCAUGGGUUCAAGUCCCAUCAUUCUCA
This 73-nucleotide transfer RNA is filed under the name Planctomycetia bacterium. RNAcentral describes it as "tRNA-Lys". It matches the Rfam family "tRNA". From Rfam's summary of the family: Transfer RNA (tRNA) molecules are approximately 80 nucleotides in length. Lineage: Bacteria; Pseudomonadati; Planctomycetota; Planctomycetia. The record is from RNAcentral.